Molecule: non-coding RNA, 1610 nt
Organism: Camelina sativa (false flax)
Lineage: Eukaryota; Viridiplantae; Streptophyta; Magnoliopsida; Brassicales; Brassicaceae
Source: RefSeq, a predicted model, not a curated record
CUUCGUCGUUGGUGGCGGCAGACUAAAAAAAUCUCUAUCAUUCAUAUCAUUCAGACGGCGGUCAUGAUUCUGGGCAUUCGUAAAUUUUCCGAUUGAUGGCAAUGUUGAAGCUGGUGGAGUUAAUUAAGAUGAUGAACGGUGAGAUUCCAGCCAUGGAAGUAGUAGAAGCCGAUGGCAACACAAAAGCUGACAGUGACAGUAACCGGUAAGCAGGGCAAUGGAGGAACUAGAUAACUCAAUUUUCCAGGGGCCAUUGUUUUGCCAGCCAAGCACUGUAAAACGUCUGAUAAACAAGUGUCAGAGUAGUCCCUCCUAAGUUUUGGUCUUCAAGCAAAAGAGAGAGGAACAAAGAAAAGGCGUCUGAAGCUGGCUGUAACCAUACAAAGGCGGCUUGGAAUUGUUUUAUCCAUUCCGACCCGAUUCUAGAAACACAUAUGGUGUAAGCAAGAGUGAGUUACUUGACCGCCUUGCUUUUCUUUGGGAGAAACAAAAGUGAUUUGCGGAGACCAAAGAAGCCCCUGCUAAAGCGGGAGAAAUGUUACUUCUUUUGACGAAGAAUUUGCCACAGGGAAAGGUUGUUUUUCUUGUGCCGGCUGAGGCACGCGCAGCUAUUAAGUGAAUGGCAUUCAAGCGUUACAAAGAUGCUCCCUUGUAUCUGGAGUGGGCUCCUGGAAAUAUUCUUUAGCCAAAAACUCUUCCUGAUAACAAUGAAAAGAAAAGUGAUGUUGGAGAAAAUGAUUUGAGUAGAGUCGACUUGGAGCAGCAGGUUGAAAUCGAUCCAGAUAUAAAUGAGUUAUGUCCUGCUAUAAUAGCUUUAAACAUAUAUUCUUCCUUUUUUUGAGUUGUAUUGAGCUAUCCGAACUCACAAGAUAGUUGAGAAAAUCUUGGGAAACUAAAAGUUGAUUUUAGGCUUACCUUGUGGGGUUAUAUAUGGGCUGUGAAGCAGGGAUAGAUUCUGAGUGUCAAGAUAAUAAAGCAUGUAAAGUAUAGGAAGACUCUUUCAAGCGGUUAUUGGUUUUGUAGAAUUCGACUCUAUAGAAGCCAGUGGUCUACAAAAAUCUACAAGGAACUGUUCUGGAUGGGCAUGCUUUGAUCUUGAGAUUCUGUUGGAACAAGCGGAGUGACAAGUUUGGGAAAGGUUCAGACAUGGAAAAAACUUGUACAAAGUUACAUGUAGCUUUUAAGGCAGCCAAGAAAAAACUAUGACAGCUUUUCAGUCCAUUUGGACAGAUCAAGAGUCUCAGGCUUCUAAAGAAGAACAGUGGAAAGUAUGCAGGUUCUGCUUUUGUUGAAUUUGUGACAAAGCUAAGAAGAAAAGCUAAAAAGCGUUAUCCAUCCUCAACUCUCUCUCUCUCUCUAUGUGCGAAUGGGCCAACAACAAUGACAAUAGCAUGGAAUCCGGGUGCGUUCUGCUGCCAAGUUGGACCAAGAAAACGAUAUAUCCGCAGGAAAGGAAAAAGCUCGACAGUUGUUGAUGAAAACAUAAAAAUAUGCACUUUGUUUUGUUGUCGCUUUUGUGAUUUUCCAUGGUUGAAAUUUUGUUUUGCACUGGCCCCAUCUACUAUUUUAUUUUAUUUCGUGUGUCUUGCAUUCAUAUACAAUAAUACCCU